UCAGGUAGGCCCCACUAGAAAUUCCACCAUUAAUCUCUCUGCCGUCUCCAACUUCUCACUCAUGCGCUCUCUCCUAUCCUGUUCGAUCCAAUUCGCACGGCGACUGCGAAACCGCAGACCCAGGCGAGCCGAUAGGUGGCGGCGACCGACGGCGCGCGACGGCCGGUGCGGGGCGAGCGUGGUCGCGGGGCAGCGAGCGGCGAGCAGCGCUAGCCUCGGCAUCAAGUUUGUGUGGCUCAAGGGAUGCAUGGUGGAGUUCGAGCUUGCCGGAUUUGAGGCUAGAGAGCACGACAGAAGGCUCCUGUAGUGGUUCAGCGGCGGCGGGGCCCCAUGAGCAAGCGCCGGCGAGGCACCAGCGGGAUGGCGACUGGCGGUCACCAGCCGGGCGCGAGCGCGGCGGCGCGGGACGCAGUUCUCUUUCGACGCCGGCAGGACUCGACGGCGGGUACGGCUGGCCACAGGUGUGGACCCCACAAACGCGUGGUGAAGAAAUCAGACCUCGACCCCAACGCGCGUUCGCUCGUUUCUUCGCUCAUCGGAUUGUGCGCCGACACGGUUUCCUGCAUGAGAAAUGUGUCUAUGUUUUUUCUUUUCUCUCCUCAUUAAUUUACUUACCAUAUCAGAUUUUUGCCUAUGUGGCAGUGUAAUUAAUUUUAUGAACACUAGCUGAGGUGGAGAGUUAUGACUGCCCUUAUGUAUCACAACUUAUAGCAGUUUGAUCAUUAAAAACUGCACAAGCAGUUUGAUUCGAUUGUUGGAAAA
Panicum virgatum (switchgrass) is the source of this 762-nucleotide long non-coding RNA. RefSeq lists it as uncharacterized. Lineage: Eukaryota; Viridiplantae; Streptophyta; Magnoliopsida; Poales; Poaceae. The transcript is spliced from 2 exons. The record is from RefSeq and is a predicted model, not a curated record.